CAAUAUCUUGAAGUACAUUUUCCAAGUUGGUUCCAUUCUCCCCAUCUCUUUCAGGGACACCAGUCAGGAAUCUACUGCACUGGGGAUGCUGAGGUUCUCACAGACUGCUUCUCAUCACACUCCCAUAGGUGGUGUCAGCCAAAAGGUUCUGUGAUGUGCUGCAGAGCCAGCAUCGAUAUGGGACAGUGUUAGCCAUUUGGGAGAAGUUGGUUUUGAUGUUCUAUUCGAUGGAUGUGCAGUUAUGUACUGCAUUGGUUGUUCUUUGUGGAGGGGACGAGUGCCAGGCACCUUUAUUCAGCCAUAUUGAAGCCCCUCCCAUCCAUUAAUACUAUGCAAGAUGGAAAAUUCUUAAAUGUUUUAAAUGAAGGCUGAAGAGAACCAGUAAAGAAAGAUUUAAAGUAUGAAGGAGCAAUAAUAUGCCCCCACCAAUGUCUUUUCCUACUAAACUCAUCAAAACAAGUCACAGAGAAACAAUGGGCAAAAUGUAUUCACUUUUUAAAAAUCUUCACUUAAUACAUGGUUUUGUUGCAGUGUUCUUUUAUAUAGGAAGUCAAAUUUGUAACUUUUAAAAAUAAAUGAGAUUUUUGUUUAUUUGUUGUCUCGAAAACGUUUACAAAACUCACUGAAAGCAUAAACAAAGAUUUUUUUUGUACAUUUAAAAUAAUUUUAGAAAAACUAUCACAUAUGACUAGGACAUACAUUUACUAUGAAUCACAGCUUAUAUGUACAGCAAAUGUACAAUCCUUUUAAUUUGUCUUCAGUUAAUCUGACCUUUCUAAUCUCCCUAGUUUUCAUACACUAGAAAUAAAAAUAACUUUGUGUCUUACCUUAUUUAAGAUCUGAUGAUGACUGUCCUUCUUGGAAUAAUAGCAGUCUCUCACAUCCCAGUUAACCAAAUACAGACUUUGGCCUCCAAUAUCAAGGAUCCCCCAAGUGGAGAAGAGAUGUUAACAAGCAAACAGUGGAGUCAGAAGACACUGGGCCAGAGAUGUCAACCCUUAAACUCUACAAUGAUAUCCGUCCCCCUGUACACACUUCCCAGCCAGGGAAGGAAGAGGUGGAAGAGAAAUUGAAAACUAAGCUUUAUUUUUCUAAACAGAUGAAAUUGAAAACUAAGCUUUGUUUUACUAAACAAAUUGAGAAAUAAUAAAAGGUAAAUUAACAGAGCUGACAUGGUGGCGCAUACCUGUAACUCCAGCUAUUCAGGAGCCUGAGAUGGGAAGAUCACUUGGACCCAGGAGUUUGAGACCAGCCUGGGCAACAUAGUGAGUCCCCAUCUCUACCAAAAAAAUUAGAAAUUAGCUGGGCAUGGUGGUGCAUGCCUGUAGUUCCAAAUACUCAGGAGGUUAAG
Molecule: long non-coding RNA, 1351 nt
Filed under: Homo sapiens (human)
Lineage: Eukaryota; Metazoa; Chordata; Mammalia; Primates; Hominidae
Description: HSALNT0150250
Source: RNAcentral